Molecule: transfer RNA, 66 nt
Filed under: Psylliodes circumdatus
Lineage: Eukaryota; Metazoa; Arthropoda; Insecta; Coleoptera; Chrysomelidae
Description: tRNA-Arg
Source: RNAcentral
AAAUAAGAAGUAAAACAUUACAUUUAGUUUCGACCUAAAAAUUUGGUUAUUAAAAACCCUUAUUUU